GAGUUUGAUCCUGACUCAGAUUGAACGCUGGCGGCAUGCCUUACACAUGCAAGUCGAACGGCAGCAUGAUCUAGCUUGCUAGAUUGAUGGCGAGUGGCGAACGGGUGAGUAAUACAUCGGAACGUGCCCUGUAGUGGGGGAUAACUAGUCGAAAGAUUAGCUAAUACCGCAUACGACCUGAGGGUGAAAGUGGGGGACCGCAAGGCCUCAUGCUAUAGGAGCGGCCGAUGUCUGAUUAGCUAGUUGGUGGGUAAAGGCCCACCAAGGCGACGAUCAGUAGCUGGUCUGAGAGGACGAUCAGCCACACUGGGACUGAGACACGGCCCAGACUCCUACGGGAGGCAGCAGUGGGGAAUUUUGGACAAUGGGCGAAAGCCUGAUCCAGCAAUGCCGCGUGUGUGAAGAAGGCCUCGG
RNAcentral lists this ribosomal RNA (414 nucleotides) under uncultured microorganism. Its description in RNAcentral is "bacterial SSU rRNA". It matches the Rfam family "Bacterial small subunit ribosomal RNA", at positions 9 to 420 of the family's 1533-position model. The record is from RNAcentral.